ACGAACGCUGGCGGCGUGCUUAACACAUGCCCGUCGAACGGAAAGGCCCUGCUUUUGUGGGGUGCUCGAGUGGCGAACGGGUGAGUAACACGUGAGUAACCUGCCCUUGACUUUGGGAUAACUUCAGGAAACUGGGGCUAAUACCGGAUAGGAGCUCCUGCUGCAUGGUGGGGGUUGGAAAGUUUCGGCGGUUGGGGAUGGACUCGCGGCUUAUCAGCUUGUUGGCGGGGUAGUGGCUUACCAAGGCUUUGACGGGUAGCCGGCCUGAGAGGGUGACCGGCCACAUUGGGACUGAGAUACGGCCCAGACUCCUACGGGAGGCAGCAGUGGGGAAUAUUGCACAAUGGGCGGAAGCCUGAUGCAGCAACGCCGCGUGCGGGAUGACGGCCUUCGGGUUGUAAACCGCUUUCGCCUGUGACGAAGCGCGAGUGACGGUAAUGGGUAAAGAAGCACCGGCUAACUACGUG
This 467-nucleotide ribosomal RNA is filed under the name uncultured bacterium. Its description in RNAcentral is "partial 16S ribosomal RNA". It matches the Rfam family "Bacterial small subunit ribosomal RNA", at positions 29 to 507 of the family's 1533-position model. The record is from RNAcentral.